CAAGUUAGAGCUUGAAUUUAAGCAUUUCAUUUACAUUGAAAAGAAAUUAAAUUAUAUAAUUAAUUUGG
Molecule: transfer RNA, 68 nt
Filed under: Sesia bembeciformis
Lineage: Eukaryota; Metazoa; Arthropoda; Insecta; Lepidoptera; Sesiidae
Description: transfer RNA-Val (GUN)
Source: RNAcentral